This 491-nucleotide ribosomal RNA is filed under the name uncultured bacterium. Its description in RNAcentral is "partial 16S ribosomal RNA". It matches the Rfam family "Bacterial small subunit ribosomal RNA", at positions 28 to 507 of the family's 1533-position model. The record is from RNAcentral.
GAUGAACGCUGGCUACAGGCUUAACACAUGCAAGUCGAGGGGAAACGACGGGGAAGCUUGCUUCCCCGGGCGUCGACCGGCGCACGGGUGAGUAACGCGUAUCCAACCUGCCUCUGACUGAGGGAUAACCCGUCGAAAGUCGGCCUAAUACCUCAUGGCAUCGUCUGCGGGCAUCCAACGACGAUUAAAGAUUUCAUCGGUCAGAGAUGGGGAUGCGUCUGAUUAGCUUGUUGGCGGGGUAACGGCCCACCAAGGCGACGAUCAGUAGGGGUUCUGAGAGGAAGGUCCCCCACAUUGGAACUGAGACACGGUCCAAACUCCUACGGGAGGCAGCAGUGAGGAAUAUUGGUCAAUGGGCGAGAGCCUGAACCAGCCAAGUAGCGUGCAGGAUGACGGCCCUAUGGGUUGUAAACUGCUUCUAUGCGGGGAUAAAGUGAGGGACGUGUCCUUCAUUGCAGGUACCGCAUGAAUAAGGACCGGCUAAUUCCGUG